AACGAACGCUGGCGGCAGGCUUAACACAUGCAAGUCGAGCGAGACCUUCGGGUCUAGCGGCGGACGGGUGAGUAACGCGUGGGAACGUGCCCUUCUCUACGGAAUAGCCCCGGGAAACUGGGAGUAAUACCGUAUACGCCCUUUGGGGGAAAGAUUUAUCGGAGCAGGAUCGGCCCGCGUUGGAUUAGGUAGUUGGUGGGGUAAUGGCCCACCAAGCCGACGAUCCAUAGCUGGUUUGAGAGGAUGAUCAGCCACACUGGGACUGAGACACGGCCCAGACUCCUACGGGAGGCAGCAGUGGGGAAUCGUAGACAAUGGGGGCAACACUGAUCUAGCCAUGCCGCGUGAGUGAUGAAGGCCUUAGGGUUGUAAAGCUCUUUCAGCUGGGAAGAUAAUGACGGUACCAGCAGAAGAAGCCCCGGCUAACUACGUG
Molecule: ribosomal RNA, 433 nt
Filed under: uncultured bacterium
Lineage: Bacteria
Description: partial 16S ribosomal RNA
Rfam family: Bacterial small subunit ribosomal RNA
Source: RNAcentral